Molecule: ribosomal RNA, 503 nt
Filed under: Salmonella enterica subsp. enterica serovar Enteritidis
Lineage: Bacteria; Pseudomonadati; Pseudomonadota; Gammaproteobacteria; Enterobacterales; Enterobacteriaceae
Description: partial 23S ribosomal RNA
Rfam family: Bacterial large subunit ribosomal RNA
Source: RNAcentral
GAGGACCGAACCGACUAAUGUUGAAAAAUUAGCGGAUGACCUGUGGCUGGGGGUGAAAGGCCAAUCAAACCGGGAGAUAGCUGGUUCUCCCCGAAAGCUAUUUAGGUAGCGCCUCGUGAAUUCAUCUCCGGGGGUAGAGCACUGUUUCGGCUAGGGGGCCAUCCCGGCUUACCAACCCGAUGCAAACUGCGAAUACCGGAGAAUGUUAUCACGGGAGACACACGGCGGGUGCUAACGUCCGUCGUGAAGAGGGAAACAACCCAGACCGCCAGCUAAGGUCCCAAAGUCAUGGUUAAGUGGGAAACGAUGUGGGAAGGCCCAGACAGCCAGGAUGUUGGCUUAGAAGCAGCCAUCAUUUAAAGAAAGCGUAAUAGCUCACUGGUCGAGUCGGCCUGCGCGGAAGAUGUAACGGGGCUAAACCAUGCACCGAAGCUGCGGCAGCGACACUGUGUGUUGUUGGGUAGGGGAGCGUUCUGUAAGCCUGCGAAGGUGGCCUGUGAGGG